RNAcentral lists this ribosomal RNA (183 nucleotides) under Triticum aestivum (bread wheat). Its description in RNAcentral is "partial small subunit ribosomal RNA". The record is from RNAcentral. Lineage: Eukaryota; Viridiplantae; Streptophyta; Magnoliopsida; Poales; Poaceae.
AUGCUUAGUUUAACCUGUAUAUGUUUUGAUUCUGUUCUUUAUCCAACUAGUCAUUUCUUUGCCAAAUUGGCCGAAGCUUAUGCUAUUUUCAAUCCAAUAAUGGAUAUUAUGCUUGUAAUACCUCUAUUCUUUUUUCUAGCAGACCAUCCAUGGUUCUUGGGCCAAAUCCGUACCAACUCCUGA